AUACCCGAGUAGUCCUAGCUGUAAAUGAUGCAAACUAGGCGUUGCACUUGCCUUGAGCGGGUGCAGUGCCGUAGGGAAACCGUUUAGUUUGCCGCUUGGGGAGUACGGUCGCAAGGCUUAAACUUAAAGGAAUUGGCGGGGGAACACCACAAGCCGUGGAUGCUGCGGUUCAAUUGGAUUCAACGCCGGGAAACUCACCAAGAGAGACGGCAGAAUGAGGCUCAAGCUAACGACUUUAGCCGACAAGCCGAGAAGUGUUGCAUGGCCAGCGUCAGUUCGUGCCGUGAGGUGUCAGGUUAAGUCCUGAAACGAACGAGAUCCCCGUUCACAGUUGCUAACUUCGGAGCGAUCCGGGGUGCACUCUGUGAAGACUGCCCGUGUUAAGCGGGAGGAAGGAGGGGGCGACGCUAGGUCUGUAUGGCCCGAAUCUCUUGGGCCACACGUGGCAUACAAUGGCCCAGACAAUGGGCUCCGACGCCGAAAGGCGAAGGCAAUCUCCGAAACUGGGUCUAAGUUCAGAUUGCGGGCUGAAACUCGUCCGCAUGAAGCUGGAAUGGCUAGUAAUCGCGCGUCAUCAUCGCGCGGUGAAUAUGUCCCUGUUCCUUGCACACACCGCCCGUCAAGCCAUCCAAGCUUGGUUUUAGUGAGGCUUCCGUGAUGAGCGAAAGUCGAGCUAGAGCUAGGUGAGGAGGGUUAAGUCGUAAAAUGAGAGUUGU
This 716-nucleotide ribosomal RNA is filed under the name groundwater metagenome. Its description in RNAcentral is "bacterial SSU rRNA". It matches the Rfam family "Archaeal small subunit ribosomal RNA", at positions 733 to 1450 of the family's 1478-position model. The record is from RNAcentral.